CACACAGGGCUGAGUCUCUGGGGAAGGCAGAGCUGUGCUCUAGAAGAUGAGGCUGCUGGGUCUUCUCCUGUGCCUGAUGACAGCCCCCCAAGGUGUUCUGUCCCAGGUGCAGCUGCAGGAGUCGGGCCCAGGACUGGUGAAGCCCUCGCAGAGCCUGUCCCUCACCUGCACUGUCUCUGGUUACUCCAUCACCAGUGGUUACAGCUGGAACUGGAUCCGGCAGCUCCCGGGGAAGGGGCUGGAGUGGAUCGGGUACAUCUGUUCUGGUGGGGGCACAUACUACAGCCCGUCCCUCAAGAGCCGCACCUCCAUCACCAGAGACACGUCCAAGAACCAGUUCUCCCUGCAGCUGAACACUGUGACCUCCGAGGACACGGCCGUGUAUUACUGUGCGAGACACACAGUGAGGAGAAGUCCGUGUGAGCCCAGACACAAACCUCCCUGAGGGGACAGGAGGGGCUGGGCUUCAGGGGGCGCUCGGAACACCAGGGGGCGCUCAGGACACACUGAGCACAGGGACCAGCCCCAGGAGCUUGUGAAGACCUGGGUGGGGAAGGGAUUUCCUUUGGGAACAGAGGUUUCCUGUAAAACUUCUCAGCUGCCCCCAGGGACAAGUCUUGAAUCAUUUUUCUUACUCUUAUGUCUCCUAUUCUCAGAAGUCAAUA
Non-coding RNA from Hipposideros armiger (great roundleaf bat), 665 nucleotides. The record is from the annotation of a RefSeq genome assembly. NCBI's taxonomy places the organism in Eukaryota, Metazoa, Chordata, Mammalia, Chiroptera, Hipposideridae.